This 245-nucleotide ribosomal RNA is filed under the name uncultured bacterium. RNAcentral describes it as "partial 16S ribosomal RNA". It matches the Rfam family "Bacterial small subunit ribosomal RNA", at positions 524 to 768 of the family's 1533-position model. The record is from RNAcentral.
UACAGAGGGUGCAAGCGUUAAUCGGAGUUAUUGGGCGUAAAGCGUGCGUAGGUGGAAAUUUAAGUCGAAUGUGAAAGCCCCGGGCUUAACCUGGGAACUGCGUUCGAUACUGAGUUUCUAGAGUAUGGUAGAGGAAGGUGGAAUUUCCGGUGUAGCGGUGAAAUGCGUAGAUAUCGGAAAGAACAUCAGUUGCGAAGGCGGCCUUCUGGGCCAAUACUGACACUGAGGCACGAAAGCGUGGGGAG